This 497-nucleotide ribosomal RNA is filed under the name uncultured bacterium. RNAcentral describes it as "partial 16S ribosomal RNA". It matches the Rfam family "Bacterial small subunit ribosomal RNA", at positions 28 to 507 of the family's 1533-position model. The record is from RNAcentral.
GAUGAACGCUGGCGGCGUGCCUAAUACAUGCAAGUCGAGCGAACGGACGAGAAGCUUGCUUCUCUGAUGUUAGCGGCGGACGGGUGAGUAACACGUGGAUAACCUACCUCUAAGACUGGGAUAACUUCGGGAAACCGGAGCUAAUACCGGAUAAUAUUUUGAACCGCAUGGUUCAAAAGUGAAAGACGGUUUUGCUGUCACUUAUAGAUGGAUCCGCGCUGCAUUAGCUAGUUGGUAAGGUACCGGCUUACCAAGGCAACGAUGCAUAGCCGACCUGAGAGGGUGAUCGGCCACACUGGAACUGAGACACGGUCCAGACUCCUACGGGAGGCAGCAGUAGGGAAUCUUCCGCAAUGGGCGAAAGCCUGACGGAGCAACGCCGCGUGAGUGAUGAAGGUCUUCGGAUCGUAAAACUCUGUUAUUAGGGAAGAACAUAUGUGUAAGUAACUGUGCACAUCUUGACGGUACCUAAUCAGAAAGCCACGGCUAACUACGUG